This 3893-nucleotide long non-coding RNA is filed under the name Podarcis lilfordi (Lilford's wall lizard). The record is from RNAcentral. Lineage: Eukaryota; Metazoa; Chordata; Lepidosauria; Squamata; Lacertidae.
GUCUGAACUCUGGCAAGGUGGAUCAACAUGGCAGGUAAUAAAUAAAUAUUGGGGCUAUAUUGACUUUUAUCAUAGGGGAAGUGCUUGGGAAUGAGUAGAGUUUAUCUGACACUGCCCCCUACCCAGUAAAAUUAAUUGAUGAACCAACAACCUCUACAUAGGAAAGGCCAGAGAAACUUGGAAGAAUAAUCCAGAGAUAACUGAACAUUUCAAAAGGGGUUUGAAUUAUAAAACUGCUAUAAACUGAUGAAAGGGGUUGGGGUGAAUUUACUGAAUAACAUUCAAUUGGAAUCGUUCAUUCGUUGGAAUCGUUCAUUGAGAUCUAUUAGAACUAACUUCUGCAAGCAGGCUUCCAGCUACGUACAGCUAUUAAUUAGGCAUAGGGCAGGAGAGCAAAAAUAAAAUUUGCUGGAGAUUCCUGCAUUGAUAGCUCUGUAGUUGGAGGGAUUUACCAUACUCCUGACCCCUUGCUGUUGGCACGGAGACAACCGGAGCUGAAGGCAAACAUAACAUUCUGCUGUCAUGAAUGAUGUCACAGACAGCAUAAGCUCCAAAUUCUUGGCAGUUGACAACAGAGAGUUAACAGACAGACCAAAUUUGAACUCUGGCAAGAUGGAUAUUUGUAACAGGUGAUGAGUUUAUUUGUGGGGAGGGGGUGUCUAUUAACCUACAAACCACUCCAUGCUAAUCAGUACCUUGCCCAUCUAAGUGUCACAAAGGAGAAGCUGCUAUACCAUUUUGCAACUGCUAUAAAACUAUCUGUGAAUGUUCUAGUAUGCGUGUGCAUGGGAACCCCCAUUAAAUCAAAGCCAUUCAAGCAGAGGAGUGUGGAAAUGUAUAGUCUCCCUUUGAGGCAGAAUGUUUGAAGAUUCAGGACUGAUAAAAGUGCUUCUUCACUCAGUGCAUAGCGUUACUCACCACCACAGGAGGCAAUGACCAAGUGGGAUGGUUUUAAAAGACGAUGAGAUAAAUUAGCCAUAGGCAAACUCGGCCCUCCAGAUGUUUUGGGAUUACAACUCCCAUCAUCCCUAGCUAACAGGACCAGUGGUCAGGAAUGAUGGGAGUUGUAGUCCCAAAAUAUCUGGAGGACUGAGUUUGCCUAUGUCUGAGAUAAAUGAAUGGAAGAUAAGGCUAUCUGUGACUACUAGCUGUGGCUACCACCCAGGAGGACUCUCCUGCUCAAUGCCUGAGGAUCCCAGUCCUGCCACUCACCACCUGGCCCAGGGCGGGGCCUGAUGGGCUCUAUAAAGGACUGUUGCCGCUGGGCAGAGAGGACUCCAUUUUGUUUUUGUUUUUUGUUUAAAUUGCUCCUAUUUUUAGCCUAUGUCAUUUUAAACUGUGAUAUUAAUGCUGUAUUCUUAGUUUUAGAUUUUGACUUAUGUGUAAAUUGUUUCCCAUUUGGUUGUGCAUUUUUUGAUGUGGUUUAUUUAUUGUUUGUGAUUUUUGUAAUUAUGUAAAUCUUGUUAUGCUGUAAGCUGUCUUAAGCAUUGCUUUUUUAACUGUGGAAAGGCGACAUACAAAUAAAAAUGAUGAUGAUGAUAGCAGCAGUGCUCUAGAAACUGCAGGAGGGGAGAGUGAUCUCAUUCUCAGGUCCUGCUUGUGUGCUUCCAACAGGAAUCUGGUUGGCUGCUGUGAGGACACAGGAUGCUGGGCUAGACGGACCAUUGGCCUGAUCCAGCCAGCUCUUCUUAUGUUCUUACAUUCCCUUUACUUCAAAGAAUGAGGAAGGCAUUCCAGGCUGGAAGACUUUGAGCACAUAGGAACACAAGACCACCGGACUGAGGAGUCGGCAUUGAAAACGAAUAAGCAAUGUAUAUUCAUUUCAUCUAAUCACUAGAGGGCAGUGUUGGCAUUUGAAUGGUGGAUUUAUCUCUGCCGGUUGACAGAACUUGAGCAAAAACGCUCAAUAAUUCCCUAUCAGGAUUUCUGAUCUGUUUGAAUAAUUUGGCACCACAGCAAUCUUCUGAUUUUCACAGAGCUGGAUGAAAUCUGUAUAAAAUCAGCAGAUGAAUGAGGCUUAUAUUCUGUUUAACACUUCAGGUCCUGAUUCCUGACCUAGAUUGGGUUGACUACCAGAAUGCACUUUCAUUCUCUGCGACCUUUCGGUUUUGUUUUAACUGGUAAUUCAUUUCCUUUCCUUUCAGAAAGAUGGCAACGAAAGUGCAAUACCUCUUGUGUUUAUGAACCAGUAUGGAUUGCUUGCAACUAAAAAUUAUGAAUUCUAUCAAGGGAUUUUAAGCGAUAUUGCUUCCUUGCUGAAACUAGAAAUUUUAAAAACUCUAGAUCAGAGGUGGGUAGCCUUCAAGGUUGUGGGAUCUGUUUUUCUUUUGUCUAGAACCCCAAGGUUCUAAUAGCAGCCAAGUGCAAGAUAAAAUGAAAGAACAGGACACCUCUUCAGCCAGGUAAGUGCCUUCAGUACUAGAACUGAGCUCACAGUCCUUUCACACACAAAAAUCCAGACCCAGUUUCCCUAUACACUUUCUUUGUUUCGGCAGCCUAAUUUGGGGUGGGGUAGAUUUUGUUAAACAACAAAAAGUCAGAAAUCCUUAUUUACUGUAAAUCAGCCAGAGAUGUUCGAAUAGAUCUCAAACUACUUUCUGACCAUCCCUGUUCUAAAUCUGUAAUCUGGCUUACAACAAAAGCUCAUGACAGGUAAAAGGUAAAGGGACCCCUGACCAUUAGGUCCAGCUGUGACUGACUCUGGGGUUGCGGCGCUCAUCUCACUUUACUGGCCGAGGGAGCCGGCAUACAGCUUCCGGGGUCAUGUGGCCAGCAUGACUAAGCCGCUUCUGGUGAACCAGAGCAGCGCACGGAAACACCGUUUACCUUCCCGCCGGAGCGGUACCUAUUUAUCUACUUGCACUUUGACGUGCUUUCGAACUGCAAGGUUGGCAGGAGCAGGGACCGAGCAACGGGAGCUCACCCCGUCGCGGGGAUUUGAACCGCCAACCUUCUGAUCGGCAAGUCCUAGGCUCUGUGGUUUAACCCACAGCGCCACAAUGACAGGUAGCAGUUAGUAAACUUUUUUUUAAAAAAGGUUACCUGCCCUUGAUGAGACUCAGGAGUUGCCUGCACUCUGAGCUACAAGGGAGUUUUUAUGUAUUGAUUUAACCCAUGCUCUUUAUCUGACUCUUUAAGAGGUUCUCACAGCAGUGGCUUUAAAUGACUCUGCAUAGUCUAGUGUGCUGGCAGAGACAAGGCAUGCUGAGUAAAUUUAGGGACACAGGAAGUUGUCUUAUACAAAGACACACGCUUAACCUAAUUUGAUACUGUCUAUGGUGCACCCAUUGACUCUAGAGUGGCAGAGACUGGGACCUCUUAUAGGCAAAAUAUAUGUACUUCCACUGAGCUGGGACCCAGCUAGAGCAGUUGAGGCCCACUAAGCUGCCUUCAUUUUGUGCUGAGUUCUCAAGAAGCUUGGAAGUGGCAAGAAAGGGGCUAUUUCUGAUGUUUCCAGGGAGCCUGCUGCAAAGGAAGCAAAGCCAGCCCUACCCUUAGGCAGGGUGAGGCAGUUGCUUCAGGUGGCAGAUACUAAAGGACAGCGAAAAGCAAUAAGAUGUUGGGGGACAGAGCGAGGUGCACUAUGUUGCCUUCUCUGUGCCCCCAAAGCUACCCCGCUGCCCUCAGGUGCUGGGGAAGAUGCUGUGCUGUUUGCCAGUGCUGACGUAAGAUUUCUGUCUGGUGGGCUUCUAGCCGCAAUGGCUAUGUUCCACCUUUACUGUCAGAGGCAGUACCGGUAUGUUUCUGAAAACCAGUUGCUGGGAAUCACAAAUGGGGAGAGUGUUGUGCUCAGGUACUGCUUUUGGGUUUUCUGGUAGGCUGUUGGCUCUUCUUUUUUAUUGCAUUUUUGAAAAUUACAGAGAGAAAAAGAGUACCGGUAAAUAAGAAAUUAC